AUAUUGGUCUAGUAGUUGUGGUUAAAAUGACACAGACAAUGGGGAAACUUUAUGCUUCUGGAAGGACAGGUGCCCAUGGGACAGGGGUCCCUUCUUUUUAGACGGGUUGACCUAAGGCAUGUCCAAGGUCAGACCCUCCAUGGUGAAAGGGGAGGGGAGGGACUGAGCACAGAACAAGCCCAGCUUCUUCCCCACCUUCUCGCUGCCCUUAACCUCCUCUCCCCCUCUCCGCUGAUCUCCAUUCUGUACACCUGACCUUGCAAACUCAGUUUUAAGACCCAGGAAUUUCCCAUCUGUCGUGGCUCAGCGGUAAGGAGCUCUAUUAUAUCCACAGGGAUGCAGGUUCAAUCCCUGGCCUCGCUCAGGGGGUUAAGGAUCCAGUGUUGCCGUGGGCUAUGGUGCAGGUCACAGACAUGACUCAGAUCAAGCGUUGCUGUGACUGCGGCGUAGGCCGGCAGCCGCAGCUCUGAUUCGACCCCCUAGCCUGGGAACUUCCAUAUGCCACAGGAGUGGCCCUAAAAAAAAGGCAAACAAACCAAAAACAAAAUUCCCAUUGUCUGUGAUUUCUCUAUGGAUUUUCCCAGGGCAGUCAACCAGAUCACAGCAGAAGUGGUAACCCUGCUUCCCGAGAAAGAGCCACUGGGAGGUGCAUGCUGCUGCUAACAGGCUGUUCGUGUGUUCAACACGAAUGCUUUGAAAAUUAAGACUAUCUUGACUUUCUGCCUAGGUUUUACCACGUUUUAUCACAUUGCUACAUGCCAGACUGACUCGACCUCCUCCCACAGCAGAAGACUCCCUGAGUAAGAACCACAUUCUCCGCUGCAUAAUGAACUGAGGCUCUGUGUGUGUGUGUGAGCCCCUUGACCCACGGUGGGUGCUCAGGAAAUGGGCCCCCACGCACAGGCCGAGCAUCUGCCGUAUGCUGAGUACUUUAUACACUUUAUCCCAUGGAUUCUUCACAGCAGCCCUUCCUGUUUGUGCCGUGAAUGGUCCCCACCUCCCAGGAAACCAAGGCUUGGAGAGAUUAAAUGGCUGGUCCCGGACCCCACAGCCCACAGGUGUCACAGCAGGACUCCUGCUCAGGUCUGUGGGACCCUGGACCACACCACUAACUCCACCCGGAAUUACUUUACAAUUAAUUAUAAGACGUGGGUCUACCCAUCUUCUGGUUUUCUCAGUGACCCUGAGGCCCAAGUAAGGGCUCCGCUAAGUGUCUAUUUUAGUGACUGAGAUAACGGAAGCUUACAUGACCAAGCCUGAGCCCUCGCACCCCAGUCCCAUGCUCCUUCCCGUGGGGCCUGACCCACUGGGCUGAAGCUGUUCUCUUCCCUUCCUCAGCCCAGUAUCCCUGGUCCAGCAGCGUGAGCCCAGAGACCCCACUGCAGGCCCAGAGCUGGGGAACCCAGGCCGGUCCUGUGCACAAGGCCUUGGCCAGGCCGGACAAGCCACUGGGCUGGGCUCAUGUUCAUUCCACUCUGAGUCAGCAGCUAAAAAAGGCUGCUAAUCUUUAAUUCAGGGAUGUUAUUUUUCUAUUACAGAAAUUUCAGCCAAACUAAUGGUUUCACACUAUAUCAGGAACCUCAGAAGCGCCAGCAGGAUAAUCCAGACAUGGACUCAUUUAACCUCACUCUCCAAAGUGGAAAGUGGGCCUUGUCAUCCCAGGCCAGUCCCCGGGGGUGCAUACUGGAGGGUGGCUGUCAGCUCCCCUAGCCACGGGGAGCCCCAGGGGGGAGGAAGCAACAGGCUUGGGAGGAAGCAACAGGCUAUGGUCUGUGGGAACCACACUCAGUGGGUUAACUCGGACCGGGAUCCCCAGCCCUCAGCCACACUGCCCGGGUUGUUCCCAGGAGCCUGUUUAAAACGUCUGAGGCCUACUGGGGUUCCCAUUGUGGCUUAGCAGUUAUGAACCUGACUAGUAUCCAUAAGGAUGUGGGUUUGAUCCCUGGCCUCACUCAGUGGGUUAACAAUCUGGUGUUGCUGUGCAUUGCAGCACAGGUCACAGAUGUGGCUUGAAUUCUGGCGUGGCUGUAGUGUAGGCCAGUAGCUGCAGCUCCAGGUCUACCUCUAGCCUGAGAACUUCCAUAUGUCACAGGUACAGCCCUAAAAAGCAAAAACAGACAAAAAAUAAAACAAACCAAAACAACCCCCCCCCAAAAAAAAGUCUGAGGCCUAGGAAACUGCUGUGACCCUCCAGGGACAGAGGCUGGGCACCCCCUCACCUGUCCCCAAUCCUCCCAGAAGCCACCCUGAGGCUUGAGCAUCCAGACCAGGAUCAGAAGGCCAGGGAGAGGCAGCCAGCACCCUAAGGCCCUGGGCUCAGGUCCUCAGCCAGCCUGGGCCUCAGGCAGGGAGUGGGGGAGGCUCCCUGGGCAACCGCUGGGGUCAGGAAGGCGAGGUUCCAGCCACUUGCAGGUCGAGGCAGAAACACAGAAGCCUUCCCUCCCAAUGCUCACAGAUGCACAUUUUAAAAUACAGCCUGGGGUUUCUCAGGGCAAGAAAUCUUAGAAACAAAUCCCCUGAGAUGGUGUCUCGAAUGACCGACCAUGUGUCUCACGAGAAACGCUAAGUGGACAGGAGCCCAUGGCAAGGCCGGCCUGGUGCUCACGUGUGGCUGACACCCUCCCUCUGGUUGUGAGUUUGUCAAUUUGUCGAGGACAGGAGGAGAUGAGGUCCAACUGGCUUACAGGCGCAGCCACCCUCCCCGCAGCCAGCGGUCCGGAGCGAGCAGCCCAGGCAUGGAGGGUCUCAGCCUCAGUCUCAGCCUUGGCGGCACCAUCAGGAACUUUCCAACCACUCAUGUCUGGCUCCAAACACCUCAGCUGUCCUGGCCCAAGGGGAGGGGGGUGCUGGGCUGAAAAUCUCCCCAGGGUUCCUCACACUAGGGUGCCCCCAACAUGCCCCUGGGAGCCUGCGAAACCCCGAUGACUGGGUCCCCUUCCCAGAGGCUCUGCCCUGCAGGUCUCAGGUGGGGCCUUGGAAUGUGCAUUUCCAACAAGCUCCUGGGGGCCACUGCUGGUGCUGAUCCCACCCCUGAGAACACUUAGAUGAGGGCAGGGCCCUGCCUUCCUGGGGACCCCAGUAUGCAAAUGGGACUUCAGGUGGACCCCAGACACAAACAAGGUGAGAGGACACAGCCCAGCCUUGUGACCAGAAAAGCCGGGAAAUGUGAGUGCUGGGCCUCGCUCUGUUGCCAUCCAGAGGCGGACCCUGGAGAUACCCCUUCCCCCGCUGCAGACCCCAGUCCUGGCAUCACCAGUGGAACAAAAUAAAUUCAAGUAAAGAAUCCCCAGUCACCCCAGGUAUACUGCUACUCCAGAAACAGCUAAGAAGGGCUGGGGACCAGGCCAGAAUGAACCCCACAGGGCUGGAGACGCGCCCAGGGCCCCUUUGCUCCUUGGCCACAAGGAAGAAGUGGCCAUCGUUGUCACAGGUCAGGAGAGGGAGCCCAGGGGUGCAGGGGGCCAGGAAGUGGCUGCCACUUGAGAUGACCCCUCCCCAGUGGGUGUUCCCAGCACCCCCACUUCCAUGGCCCGUGGUCGCCACACACAGGUGUGCUCACUGCUCACGGCUCCGUGGGAGCCUGAAAUUCAAAGUCUGGGGACACUGCCCCCAGGUGCUCACCUGUGGCCAAUGGCACAUGGAUGCAUGUGCCAUCCUCUGUUCCCAAAGGGAAGUAAGUCCAAGAUGUAAGGAAGACCGGACAGGUGGCCUGGCCACCAGACCCCCCGGAACAAGGGGUUAGCCCAGACCAGUGGCUUUCAAGCAUUUUUAGAGGAUGAACCUUUCUUCUUCUUUUUAAUAGAUCCCUAGCACAUGGUCGACCAGUGCUGAGGUUCUGACUGUGUGUCUCUGGGUGUGGUACAAUGGAAUACCCUUCAGCCAUAGACAAGAAUGACAUAAUGCCACAUGCAGCAGCAUGUAUGCAACUAGAGAUGCUCACACGCACUUGUAUGUGGAAUCUGAAAAAAUGAUGCAGAUGAAUUUGUUUACAAAACAGAAACAGACUUGCAGAGAACAAAUUUAUGGUUACCAAAGGGGACAGAGGGGAGGGGAGGAAUAAGACAGGAGUUUGGGAUUAUAUGCACACCACUAUACAUAAAACAGAUAACCAACAAGGACCUAUCGUAUAGCACAGAGAACUCUACUCACUAUCUUGUAAUAACCUAUAAUGGAGAAGAAUCUGAAAAAUAUAUAUACACAUGUAUGUAUACACACACACAAAUAUAUACACAUGACUGAAUCACUUUCCUGUAUACCUGAAAUUAACACAACAUUGUGAAUCAACUAUACAUCAAUCAAUAAAUACAUAAAUAAAUUUUUUAAAAAAUAAAGUAUUGACUACGGUACUAGUUUUAAUAUGGCACAGGCCCCAUCUCAGGGAAGGUCAGGGAGAGCAGAGAGGGAGGCAGGACGUCUUUCUCCCCUCAGCCUCCCCUCCAGGCCUGGCACCUGUCCCAGGGUCUACGGCAGGGCCAGCAGCAGCAAACGUUUCCUGGAAAAGGGCCACAGAGUAAAAAAUUUAGGUCGUGCAGGUCCUGUGGCCUGUAUUGCAACUAUUCAACUCUGCCUUCAAAGAGCAAGAGCAGCCAUGUGUGGCUGUGUGUGGCUGUGUUCCAAUAAAACUUUAUUUAUAAAAACCGCCGACAGACCGGGUUUAGUGGAGGCCCCCAGUUUUGCUGAGCCCUGGCAUAGGGAAAAACGCUGUGGGGUCCGCAACCCUAAGAUUCUUUCCACAUUUAUGACAAUGAAUUCUCAAUUCUUAAACUCUACUUGCCAGAGUCUUGGUCUAACCUAUCAAGAAUACACUCAUUCCUGAACUUCACGGAUUUUUGUUCCAAGAACCAAAAAUGUUCUGAUGAGCUAAUGAAUGUGAAAAAUGCUUUGAAAAGCCUAAGCUUUGCAAACGGGCAGACCCACCAAAGCCUCUAAGAGCAGAGCUUACCAUCCUUUACCUGUGUUUCAGGAAGAUUCCAGGCAGUGGGUUAUGUCCGCCUGGGCUGCUUUUAAAGAACGGGGUUUAAAGAAUGCUGCAGUAAAAAGGGCCUAAAGGGACAACAAAGUUGGAAGAAAUGAAUAGUGUCUGGUCCUUGUCUCCUGGAGCCUGAAACUUUUAAACUCUCCAUAGAAAAUCCCACACUCCCCAUUUCAUCCUGUUUGUCUACGCAGCGGCAUCUUAGGCCAGGAAACGGCAUUAGUCAGGAGGCUCCUGGUUAAUCCCUGGAUACGUCUCCUUUGCGCAGCUGUGAAAAUGCUGCAUUGUUAUUUAACUGCACUGAACCGCUCUCCAUCCUUUAAACUGUCUUCAUAAUCACACCGUGACCUAAGGUGCCCUGGCGUGGUGAAGUCCCUGUGAAUGGCUGCCAUCCGUCUACCCUCCA
This 5378-nucleotide long non-coding RNA is filed under the name Sus scrofa (pig). RNAcentral describes it as "lncRNA (ENSSSCG00060010576.1)". The record is from RNAcentral. Lineage: Eukaryota; Metazoa; Chordata; Mammalia; Artiodactyla; Suidae.